This 433-nucleotide ribosomal RNA is filed under the name uncultured bacterium. RNAcentral's name for it is "partial 16S ribosomal RNA". It matches the Rfam family "Bacterial small subunit ribosomal RNA", at positions 29 to 507 of the family's 1533-position model. The record is from RNAcentral.
AACGAACGCUGGCGGCAUGCCUAACACAUGCAAGUCGAACGAGACCUUCGGGUCUAGUGGCGCACGGGGGCGUAACGCGUGGGAACCUGCCCUUAGGUUCGGAAUAACUCCCCGAAAGGGGUGCUAAUACCGGAUAAUGUCUUCGGACCAAAGAUUUAUCGCCUUUGGAUGGGCCCGCGUUGGAUUAGCUAGUUGGUAGGGUAAAAGCCUACCAAGGCGACGAUCCAUAGCUGGUCUGAGAGGAUGAUCAGCCACACUGGGACUGAGACACGGCCCAGACUCCUACGGAAGGCAGCAGUGGGGAAUAUUGGACAAUGGGCGAAAGCCUGAUCCAGCAAUGCCGCGUGAGUGAUGAAGGCCUUAGGGUUGUAAAGCUCUUUUACCCGGGAUGAUAAUGACAGUACCGGGAGAAUAAGCUCCGGCUAACUCCGUG